Molecule: non-coding RNA, 844 nt
Organism: Zootoca vivipara (common lizard)
Lineage: Eukaryota; Metazoa; Chordata; Lepidosauria; Squamata; Lacertidae
Source: RefSeq, a predicted model, not a curated record
UCAAAGGUUAGUAGGAUACAGCAAGGAUAAUUUCAUCACUCUCGCUUAGCCUGACAAUUAUUGCGGGUCAUGGAUUCUUGUGCAAAUGUACAGGAGGAAAGCUUGGUGUCAACUUAAAUGAGCAAACGAUGACAUCUGUGAGAGCAUGAUUUUUAAUUCACCAUUAUGUCUUUAUCCACAACUUCAGGGUCUAACGGAUUCCCAUAUUUGUGGUCUGGAGGCUGUUUUCUCCAGGAUAAAUUGGCAUCUGACCAGGGAGUUAUGGGGUGAGUCCCCAUAUGGAAGUGGGAAGAGCCACUCUAAGCAGCUAGAAAACCCACCUGCUGGCACUGCUGCUGCUGCUGCCUGUUUUCAAAGAUGGGAUUCCGAGAGUGACAGGAUAUUACGACAACCUGUCCUCACAGGGACAUUGUCCAAGGAAAGAAGACAGCAUUGGCUGCCCCUACAUCCUCCUUGGGCACUAGGAAGUAUUUAUUCAUAAGUAUUUAUGCAUUCAUGCAAUUGCAGCAGAGGACAUUCUGAUCCAUACAUUAGACUGAAGGCUUUGAUCAGGUUGGUUUGCUUCAAAAUGCAGACUGGCAAAAUUUCUCAAGUUCCCCAGCUCUGCAGCUACUUCACUCUGAUGGGCUUCCUAUGCAAAGUAGUAAAGAGUGGUCAUAUCUGUGCACAUGUGAACACAUAUGUAUCUGUAGAAGAAUGUGGUUCUGGUGUAGCCCUGCAUAGGUUCUGGCUACCUCAUUACGUCGCUUGCAGACGGAUGCAAUAUAUCAGGCAUCCCCAAACUACGGCCCUCCAGAUGUUUUGGCCUACAACUCCCAUGAUCCCUAGCUAACAGGACCAGUGG